Long non-coding RNA from Oxyura jamaicensis (ruddy duck), 587 nucleotides. RefSeq lists it as uncharacterized. The transcript has 3 exons. The record is from RefSeq and is a predicted model, not a curated record. NCBI's taxonomy places the organism in Eukaryota, Metazoa, Chordata, Aves, Anseriformes, Anatidae.
UUUCUUCUUCCAUUUGAACAAUAAUUCAGAAGUUAUGAGUGUAGAUUAUUUAACUUCUACAGUUUUAAAAUGCAUCACUUUGCCAACUUUUUCCAUUUAGAAUUUCCUUCAAUCUAUUUCCUAAACAUUCUAUAGCUUGAAAUUGAAAAUUUAUCUCUGUCCAGAAAAGGAAACUUUGGCUUUUCAGCUGGGGGUGGGGAGAGGGAGGGGAUUUGAUCCAACAUAUUCUUUUAUGGUUUUGAGCUUUCAGAAUUUCUACAAGGCCUUUAUUAUGCAUGACUUCCACUCUUCACUUCAUCAUUUAGCAACCCCAAACCAACUCUGCAGAUCAGCAGGGUAAUCAUUAAAAUCUGCUGGUAAGAUAAACAGGACGGGGAGAGGAAGAAACCUGCAAUGACCACGAGCCUGGAGGAGACUGAGGAGAACAAAAUAAAGUGCUCUUUUGGCUGGUUCAAGGCUUGCUUCAAGGAAUGCGAAUUCAAGGCACAAAUUUUCUUUAGGUAAAACAUAAAAAGUUAAUGGACGCUUUGCCUAUAUUAUGAUUGCUGGGUCACAUACAGGAGCACAGAGACAUACCUGACAUGAAA